Molecule: ribosomal RNA, 313 nt
Filed under: uncultured Oscillospiraceae bacterium
Lineage: Bacteria; Bacillati; Bacillota; Clostridia; Eubacteriales; Oscillospiraceae
Description: bacterial SSU rRNA
Rfam family: Bacterial small subunit ribosomal RNA
Source: RNAcentral
ACGCUGGCGGCGUGCUUAACACAUGCAAGUCGAACGGGGUUUUAUUUAAGCUUGCUUUUAUGGAACCUAGUGGCAAACGGAUGAGUAACGCGUGGGUAACCUGCCUCGUAGAGGGGGAUAACAGUUGGAAACGACUGCUAAUACCGCAUAAGCGCACGGUAUCGCAUGAUAUAGUGUGAAAAGAUUUAUCGGUGUAAGAUGGACCCGCGUCUGAUUAGAUAGUUGGUGAGGUAACGGCUCACCAAGUCGACGAUCAGUAGCCGGCCUGAGAGGGUGAACGGCCACAUUGGGACUGAGACACGGCCCAAACUCC